This 207-nucleotide ribosomal RNA is filed under the name uncultured bacterium. Its description in RNAcentral is "partial 16S ribosomal RNA". It matches the Rfam family "Bacterial small subunit ribosomal RNA", at positions 568 to 774 of the family's 1533-position model. The record is from RNAcentral.
UGCGUAGGUGGGCUAGUAAGUCCGUGGUGAAAUCUCCAAGCUUAACUUGGAAACUGCCGUGGAUACUAUUAGUCUUGAAUAUUGUGGAGGUAAGCGGAAUAUGUCAUGUAGCGGUGAAAUGCUUAGAUAUGACAUAGAACACCGAUAGCGAAGGCAGCUUGCUACACAAUCAUUGACACUGAGGCACGAAAGCGUGGGGAUCAAACA